This 253-nucleotide ribosomal RNA is filed under the name uncultured bacterium. RNAcentral describes it as "partial 16S ribosomal RNA". It matches the Rfam family "Bacterial small subunit ribosomal RNA", at positions 524 to 776 of the family's 1533-position model. The record is from RNAcentral.
UACGUAGGGUGCGAGCGUUAAUCGGAAUUAUUGGGCGUAAAGAGCUUGUAGGCGGUUUGUCGCGUCUGCUGUGAAAAUCCGGGGCUCAACCCCGGACUUGCAGUGGGUACGGGCAGACUAGAGUGUGGUAGGGGAGACUGGAAUUCCUGGUGUAGCGGUGAAAUGCGCAGAUAUCAGGAGGAACACCGAUGGCGAAGGCAGGUCUCUGGGCCACUACUGACGCUGAGAAGCGAAAGCAUGGGGAGCGAACAGG